CAUGGGCAGGUUGAAGGUUGGGUAACACUAACUGGAGGACCGAACCGACUAAUGUUGAAAAAUUAGCGGAUGACCUGUGGCUGGGGGUGAAAGGCCAAUCAAACCGGGAGAUAGCUGGUUCUCCCCGAAAGCUAUUUAGGUAGCGCCUCGUGAAUUCAUCUCCGGGGGUAGAGCACUGUUUCGGCUAGGGGGCCAUCCCGGCUUACCAACCCGAUGCAAACUGCGAAUACCGGAGAAUGUUAUCACGGGAGACACACGGCGGGUGCUAACGUCCGUCGUGAAGAGGGAAACAACCCAGACCGCCAGCUAAGGUCCCAAAGUCAUGGUUAAGUGGGAAACGAUGUGGGAAGGCCCAGACAGCCAGGAUGUUGGCUUAGAAGCAGCCAUCAUUUAAAGAAAGCGUAAUAGCUCACUGGUCGAGUCGGCCUGCGCGGAAGAUGUAACGGGGCUAAACCAUGCACCGAAGCUGCGGCAGCGACACUGUGUGUUGUUGGGUAGGGGAGCGUUCUGUAAGCCUGUGAAGGUGUGUCGUGAGGCAUGCUGGAGGUAUCAGAAGUGCGAAUGCUGACAUAAGUAACGAUAAAGCGGGUGAAAAGCCCGCUCGCCGGAAGACCAAGGGUUCCUGUCCAACGUUAAUCGGGGCAGGGUGAGUCGACCCCUAAGGCGAGGCCGAAAGGCGUAGUCGAUGGGAAACGGGUUAAUAUUCCCGUACUUGGUGUUACUGCGAAGGGGGGACGGAGAAGGCUAUGUUGGCCGGGCGACGGUUGUCCCGG
RNAcentral lists this ribosomal RNA (773 nucleotides) under Salmonella enterica subsp. enterica serovar Enteritidis. RNAcentral describes it as "partial 23S ribosomal RNA". It matches the Rfam family "Bacterial large subunit ribosomal RNA", at positions 735 to 1510 of the family's 2925-position model. The record is from RNAcentral. Lineage: Bacteria; Pseudomonadati; Pseudomonadota; Gammaproteobacteria; Enterobacterales; Enterobacteriaceae.